Takifugu rubripes (torafugu) is the source of this 1847-nucleotide long non-coding RNA. Lineage: Eukaryota; Metazoa; Chordata; Actinopteri; Tetraodontiformes; Tetraodontidae. The record is from Ensembl.
UAACAUGUUCAUCAUCAUUGCAACAACACCAAACUUAUUUUUUAUUUCCUCUUCUGCCUGAAGAUCAUUCAGGCUGAUUGCUGCAGAAAAACAGAUCUGUUCAUAGUUUAUCCAAAGAGAAAAGAUGGAAGCUGUAGUUGUUCUGCUGCUGAUGGUACUCAGAAUUUCUAACGGUGAGCUGUUGGAUUUUUAUGACACAGUUUUGCUCUGAAUUCAGAUCCAUAUAAUUUCUGGAGAUGUGUAUAAUGUUUGCAUGUUUAGCAUUUGUUUGUGGUUUAUUGUGUUGACAUGUGCAUUAGAAAUAUGUAGGAUAGAACCUGUUUAGGAUUUGGUCAUUUGUGUGUUGUGCAGGUGUAGAAACCUCCUGUGAUGGACGACAGGAUAAAACUCAGUGUUAUGGAGCUCUGGGAGGAACUCUGGUCCUGCAGUUGAUGGACAAAGUCCCAGAGAUACUGACAUUCAAAUGGGGGAACUCAACAGGAACGAUUCUGAAUCGGAUUAGAAACGGGUCUGUGACGAAUACAUUAUCAAACAGGUCAGAGUUUAUUUCCCAUAAUGGAACACUGAGGAUGAACAGCCUGAACAGAACUGAUGGUGGUGAAUAUAAACUUGAAAUAUUUAAAGAGGAUGGAGUGAGAACAGCAGUACGGACUCUACAGUUGAACAUCCAAGCUCCUGUGUCGACUGUCCGGCUGACGUCUGAGUGUCUGUCCCAGGGAGAGAAGAGGAUGUCCUGCUCCUCUGAUGGAGACAGUCCUCAGUACAGCUGGACUCUGGAUGGAAACACACUGACAGAUGAUCAGCUCCUCUCUGUUAAUAAUGAGACUAAUGAGAUCAUUCUGAAACAAACAGUGUCAGGACGGCUGGUGUGUUUAGUCAGGAAUCACGUCAGUGAAGCCUCAGUAACAGAGAUGAUUUCAACCUGUGGUGUAGAAACCUCCUGUGAUGGCCGGCAGGAUAAAACUCAGUGUUAUGGAGCUCUGGGAGGGACUCUGGUCCUGCAGUUGAUGGACAAAGUCCCAGAGAUACUGACAUUCAAAUGGUGGAACUCAAAAGGAAUAAUUCUGAGUCGGAUUGGUAAUGGGCCUGUGAUGAAUAGAUUAUCAACCAGGUCAGAGUUUAUUUCCCAUAAUGGAACAUUGAGGAUGAACAGCCUGAGCAGAACUGAUGGUGGUGAAUAUAAACUUGAAAUAUUUAAUGAGGAUGGAGUGAGAACAGCAGUACGGACUCUACAGUUGAACAUCCAAGCUCCUGUGUCGACUGUCCGGCUGACGUCUGAGUGUCUGUCCCAGGGAGAGAAGAGGAUGUCCUGCUCCUCUGAUGGAGACAGUCCUCAGUACAGCUGGACUCUGGAUGGAGACACACUGACAGAUGAUCAGCUCCUCUCUGGGAAUAAUGAGACUAAUGAGAUCAUUCUGAAACAAACAGUGUCAGGACGGCUGGUGUGUUUAGUCAGGAAUCACGUCAGUGAAGCCUCAGUAACAGAGAUGAUUUCAACCUGUGGUGUAGAAACCUCCUGUGAUGGCCGGCAGGAUAAAACUCAGUGUUAUGGAGCUCUGGGAGGAACUCUGGUCCUGCAGUUGAUGGACAAAGUCCCAGAGAUACUGACAUUCAAAUGGUGGAACUCAAAAGGAAUGAUUCUGAUUCAGAUUAGAAACAGGCCUGUGAUGAAUAGAUUAUCAACCCGGUUAGAGUUUAUUUCCCAUAAUGGAACACUGAGGAUGAACAGCCUGAGCAGAACUGAUGGUGGUGAAUAUACACUUGAUAUAUUUAAAGAGGAUGGAGAGAGAACAGCAGUUCGGACUCAACAGUUGAACAUCCAAGGUACGUUUGACCGAGAGCUUUGA